Molecule: ribosomal RNA, 419 nt
Filed under: bacterium
Lineage: Bacteria
Description: partial 16S ribosomal RNA
Rfam family: Bacterial small subunit ribosomal RNA
Source: RNAcentral
UGGGGGAUAUUGCACAAUGGGCGAAAGCCUGAUGCAGCGACGCCGCGUGGGGGAUGAAGGCCUUCGGGUUGUAAACUUCUUUUGCUCUGAACAAGGCGCACCAUGGGGUGUGUUGAGUGUAGGGGUUGAUUAGCGCCGGCUAACUACGUGCCAGCAGCCGCGGUAAUACGUAGGGCGCGAGCGUUGUCCGGAAUUAUUGGGCGUAAAGGGCUUGUAGGUGGCUGGUUGCGUCUGUCGUGAAAGCUCAUGGCUUAACUGUGGGUUUGCGGUGGGUACGGGCUGGAUUGAGUGCAGUAAGGGAGGCUGGAAUUCCUGGUGUAGCGGUGGAAUGCGCAGAUAUCAUGAGGAAUACCGGUGGCGAAGGCGGGUCUCUGGGCUGUUACUGACACUGAGGAGCGAAAGCAUGGGGAGCGAACAGG